This 1249-nucleotide long non-coding RNA is filed under the name Pogona vitticeps (central bearded dragon). Its description in RNAcentral is "lncRNA (ENSPVIG00000006796.1)". The record is from RNAcentral. Lineage: Eukaryota; Metazoa; Chordata; Lepidosauria; Squamata; Agamidae.
UUAUAAUCUAAAAGAUAUAAUCCAAAACUUGCAAUUCCUGGGUAAAGAUGUAAGAGUGAAUGCUGUCUUCACACUGAAUUAAUGCCAUUGGGGAGAGACAGACAGUAUCUUUCUUGACCCAGAGUCACAAAGGUGACAUCUGUGUCAGAUUUGCAAGCUUCUUAUAGUUCGUUUCUCUGAAGGCAACAGGAGUGGGCGUAAUACAACCAUACUGAUCAGAGAUAAAGAUUGAGGGAAACUACACUUGCAUGUCUAUCCCGUGCAGCUGUAAACCAGAUUAUGAACCAGGUUCAAAGUAUCAGCAGAAUAAUAGCUUCUAAAUAUAGGAAGAGCAAAAGGAGUGGGGGGAAUAAGACCAUGAAAUACAAAGCACUUUGUACUUAAUAUUUUUUUUUUGUAACAGCAAUGGAAGAUUAGAGAACUUUGAUGUUUCAAAAGCUCCUUCCCACACGUAAAAGCAAACAGUCCAAUCUUUCAGGGGCGUUCAUGAGACCUGAUCUCCCUUAUAGGAAAUAUUUAGGCAAUCCUAGUAUCAAUAGCACACCACUUAAUGGUCAAUCUAAAUAAAACUGUUUAUAAUCUAGAAGAGAAGGUCACACAAUCAAUGCAUCCAAUCUAAUAAAAGGGAAAAUAAGAGGGAAAAAUUAUGACACAAAAAGAACAUUUUCCUUAUUUCCUACAUUUUUAUUCAUAGGUUAUAGUUUACUGUGCUUUCUUCUGCAGCAUGUAAAUAGUCAUCCAGUCACAUUCAUCCGAAUCACUCAAACGCAGGUGUUAAUGGCAUAUUCCCAUUUAGCUUAUACUUUCUACAUAAACACAACCACUUUUUAUUUUAUGUUUUUUUUUCUUGGCAAAAAUAAUAGAAACAAGCAGGGGUGGGUGGGCAGAUCCUUUCAGAAACCUAUUCUAUCUGUCAGUAGGAGCUUGAGGAUCUGCUGGCUGUAUUAUAAGCAAUUUCAUCGCUUUGGACACUGUUAGCCCCUUCUUCUCACUGGACCGGAGUCAUCCUCCACCAUCCCCCUCCUCCUCCUCCUCUUUCUCCCGCCAGCCCCUUCUGGCUCCCUCGCUCUCCCCCUCCCCGCCUCCCUUUCCAUUUCACCCCAUGUCACCCACUAGCUGACUUCUCCUCCAGAAGAGAAACAUGAGGUGGGUGGAGGGCUUUUCGGAGCAAGAGUGGGUGGAGAUUGCCAGGCAUCAACCCAACCCAGGUCUCCUCAAGUCUUGGAGGCACAAGGCAAACAGCUUCCCC